Non-coding RNA from Biomphalaria pfeifferi, 252 nucleotides. The record is from the annotation of a GenBank genome assembly. Lineage: Eukaryota; Metazoa; Mollusca; Gastropoda; Planorbidae.
GUAACAAAAAACAAAUAGUUGCUUUAUUGAUCUGAAUGGCACAACCCAAAAAACAAGAACAGACUACCAAGUAUCACACAAAUAAUAAUCAGAUCAAUGUCAUUGAACUAGAGUUAUACAUUGCAUUUCAAAUUGUUAUAAGCUAUUGCAAAAAUAAGCAUUACAUAAAAAAAAUUGAUUGCAUACUGACAAUAUCAUAUUGAACUAGAGGUAUCCAUUCCAUGUUUCUCCUCAAUCUUGAGACUAAGACCU